AACGAACGCUGGCGGCAUGCCUAACACAUGCAAGUCGAACGGGAUCCUGGCUUCGGCCAGGUGAGAGUGGCGGACGGGUGAGUAACGCGUGGGAACCUGCCCAUUGGUCUGGGAUAACUGCGGGAAACUGCAGCUAAUACCGGAUGUACCCGAGAGGGGAAAGAUUUAUCGCCGAUGGAGGGGCCCGCGUCAGAUUAGGUAGUUGGUGAGGUAACGGCUCACCAAGCCUACGAUCUGUAGCUGGUCUGAGAGGAUGAUCAGCCACACUGGGACUGAGAUACGGCCCGGACUCCUACGGGAGGCAGCAGUGGGGAAUAUUGGACAAUGGGGGCAACCCUGAUCCAGCAAUGCCGCGUGAGUGAUGAAGGCCUUAGGGUGUAAAGCUCUUUUACCAGGGACGAUGAUGACGGUACCAUGCAAGAAAGGAUCGGCUAACUUCGUGCCAGCAGCCGCGGUAAU
This 459-nucleotide ribosomal RNA is filed under the name uncultured bacterium. Its description in RNAcentral is "bacterial SSU rRNA". It matches the Rfam family "Bacterial small subunit ribosomal RNA", at positions 29 to 524 of the family's 1533-position model. The record is from RNAcentral.